CCACUUCCCCAGAGCCCCAUCCCACUAGGGAAAGAGAGAGGCAGGCUGGGAGUAUGGAUCAACCUGUCAGUGCCCAUGUUCAGCGGGAAGCAAGUCGCUUCACAAGCGAUAGGAGAAGAGAAAGAGCCAGACAUCACUCUGGUACAUGUGCUGCCAGAGAUCAAACUCAGGACCUCAUGCUUAUCCACUGCACCACCUCUUGGAGCACAAGGUUCCAGAUGCUAACAUGAUGCCGACCAGACUUCCCUGGACAGACAACACCACCAAUGUGUCCUGGAGUUCUGAUUCCACAGAGCCCUUCCCCACUAAGGAAAGAGAAAGACAGGCUGGGAGUAUGGAUCGACCUGUCAACGCCCAUGUUCAGCAGGGAAGCAAUUAUAGAAGCCAGACCGUCCACCUUCUGCAUCCCACAAUGACCUUGGGUCCAUAUUCCCAGAGGGUUAAAGAAUAGGAAAGCUAUCAGGGGAGGAGGUGGGAUACAGAGUUCUGGUGGUAGGAAUUGUGCGAAGUUGUACCCUUCUUAUCCUAUGGUUUAGUCAAUGUUUCCUUUUUAUAAAUA
Long non-coding RNA from Erinaceus europaeus (western European hedgehog), 559 nucleotides. RefSeq lists it as uncharacterized. NCBI's taxonomy places the organism in Eukaryota, Metazoa, Chordata, Mammalia, Eulipotyphla, Erinaceidae. The record is from RefSeq and is a predicted model, not a curated record. The transcript has 3 exons.